GGGUGGGAGAGCAUGUACCUGAAGCUGGGACGCAUGGACUUGUGUGCAAGGCCCCUCAUGGACAAAGUAAGAGGUAGGAUGAGAAGAGAGGCAGCCUAGAGGCAGAGGCCCAUUUCUCCUCAUGCUGCCACAUUCUGGCAUGGAACUCAAGGGAUUCUAAGAAUUCUGCAUUUGAAUCUGUCCUUCCAGGUAGUUAUGAAGGCACAUUUGACAAGAGGAAAGAACAUAUUUGGUAUCUUGCUUGAUAUCUAACUUUUAAGUGUGUAGACAUAUGGAAUGGACCCCUAUAUGCAACUCAAGCCCUUUGGUAGCGAUGACCAUUGGCACUGUAUCAUCCAUCCAGAUUCAUGUCUCCCUGCUUCAGCCUGAUGGCAGAACUUGUGGAGAAAUAUGGAGCCACAGACAGAGAUCCUCUUAAGAACCCUGGGUCAGGAGAGUCAAAAGGACACGCCGAUAGGGUAAAACUUGUUUCCCAUUAGCUAGAUAAAUAGACACUUCCUAAAAAUUAAACUGCUGUUUACACAUUUUAAUUUGUAAUAAAC
RNAcentral lists this long non-coding RNA (542 nucleotides) under Mustela putorius furo (domestic ferret). Its description in RNAcentral is "lncRNA (ENSMPUG00000025521.1)". Lineage: Eukaryota; Metazoa; Chordata; Mammalia; Carnivora; Mustelidae. The record is from RNAcentral.